GAUGAAGAACGUAGCGAAAUGCGAUAGGUAAUGUGAAUUGCAGAAUUCAGUGAAUCAUCGAAUCUUUGAACGCACAUUGCGCCCCUUGGUAUUCCGAGGGGCAUGCCUGUUCGAGCGUCAUUAUAACCCCUCAAGCUCAGCUUGGUGUUGGGGCCUGCUGCACUGGCAGCCCUUAAAAUCAGUGGCGGCGCCAUCUGGCUCUAAGCGUAGUAAUUCUUCUCGCUAUGGAGUCCUGGUGGAUGCUUGCCAUCAACCCCCAAUUUUUCUAUGGUUGACCUCGGAUCAGGUAGGGAUACCCGCUGAACUUAAGCAUAUCAAUAAGCGGAGGA
Molecule: unclassified non-coding RNA, 329 nt
Filed under: soil metagenome
Description: partial contains 5.8S ribosomal RNA, internal transcribed spacer 2, and large subunit ribosomal RNA
Rfam family: 5.8S ribosomal RNA (bases 1-120)
Source: RNAcentral